GCUGGGCAGACCUUGCUGGCCCCGGCCUCCACGUGCAGUGACUGUUCUCAUGGCAGCGUCUCAGGCUGUCUGGACCAGCUGUCACAGUCUCACUGUGGGUGAGUCACCUGAGGCACUGUAUGGUGGAUAAAAGGAUUCAUUGCCCUGGGAGGUUUUGCCUGGCAUUCUGCAGAAGCAUUGCUGUAUCUUACCAGACAGGAAUACAGAUGAAGACGCCCAGGCACAGGGAAUUUGAUCACUGGCUGAGAACUCACAGCUAACAAGGGGAGCCUGGGGUUCCUUCCUGGGUGCUCAGACCCGAGACUCUUUUGUUUGUCACCGUGUUCAAAGGCAGUGCUGCACAGACGUGAUUCUUCUUUCAACGAACAUCUCCAGGACUUCCUCCAGGGUCUGUGACCUCAUCUGUAAUUAAAGGGAAAGAGAUCUUCCUGAGAUUAGCCCAUUUAACUUGUUUAACUAGAUGCAUGCUGCAAAAACUGUUUUCAAGAAAUGAACAAUUGACUGUUUAAAAAGAGCCAAGCCUUAAAAGAACACCAGGUUUUAAUAGGGAAAACAUUCAGUAAAAUAUUAUUCUGCAGUAACUUGUGGAAUGGCUGCUAUACACACAGCUCUGGGCUGGGUACCGGGAAGCUCACGAGCUUGUUUGGCCUCCCCUCCUGGACACAGAAGGUGUCAAGGCUGUAGUCCGCAGAAUCUCCCCAGCUGGACACUGAGUGGACGCCCUGUGGGGCGGCUGUGAUGUGGGUCCACUUUGUAGUGGCAGCGUCCGUGAUAGUACUUCUGAAAGGGACAAGAUAGAAAAGCAAACCAAAUUGAAACUGAGAAGUCGUGGAUGAAUACCAAGGGCGCACAGUGGCUGACAGGAAGAGACUGCCUGGAGGGUCUCGGAGCCAGUGGCUGGAGUCGAGUUAGUUUAACUGAGUCCUGGACUAGGGAGGGUACCCCCAAAGCAUGCCCAGCACAGCGCUAGUGGGACACCCCAUGUCCCAACAGCCAGAACCAAUAAUCAGGUUAACACUCAUUAAAUAAGAAGUGUCUGUGCCCCCUGGGAUAAAAAUCCUUUAUAAUGAUCUGGGACGCCAACUCAAGUCCGUGUUCCCUUGUCCUCCGCAGCGGUGUGCAGCGUGGAACUUGGCAGUUUGGGGUCCCUGAGUCCCUGAGCCACUGUCUACCCACUGCUCCAUCCCAAAUUGCAGGGACCCCUGAGCACUCAUGUGGACAUGCCCCACCAAGCCCUGGCUGCUCCUUCACCAUGGCGCAGGGCCACCGCUAUGGGAGGACUCUAAAGGGUGGAUCUCAGGCCCUCCCCCGCUUACCCUAAAUCAGGAGAGCAAACCGAAUGCACUGCCCUCUUCCUUCACUCCUGUGUCCCAUCCCCCGCUGUGGCCUCACUGUCAGGUCUGCUGUGUGCCAAAAUAUUUUACCAUGCCCUAAAAGUGAGAUGUUGGAAGUGGACAAGGAGGAAAUAUUUAUGAAUAUUUGAGUCUGUUAUUCUUCAUGUGAAGCCAUUUUGGCUUCUGUUGUACUCCUAAAUCGCUACCGAGAGCAGAGAAAGAGCUCUUUGUAGAAAUGAGAUGCUGCCUGUGAUGCAUCCUGUUGUCACCGGAGCACUGUGGCCCUAAGGAAUGACAGCAUUAAGGCAUGGACCUUAAAGAUAGACAAAAGCAUUGUUCACAGUGUUGUCUUUUAAAAUGACGAUGUGUACAACAAUUAAACUAUUGUGUCUUCAUUGA
This 1733-nucleotide small RNA is filed under the name Pongo abelii (Sumatran orangutan). RNAcentral describes it as "processed transcript". The record is from RNAcentral. Lineage: Eukaryota; Metazoa; Chordata; Mammalia; Primates; Hominidae.